GUAGGUAGAGUGUGAGGAGGAGGUCUGAGCCCAUGUGUGGACCUAGGUCUGCUGUUAAACUGACUAACUCCCACUCUACAG
This is a microRNA precursor of Homo sapiens (human), 81 nucleotides long. NCBI's taxonomy places the organism in Eukaryota, Metazoa, Chordata, Mammalia, Primates, Hominidae. The record is from Ensembl.